Molecule: long non-coding RNA, 288 nt
Organism: Oncorhynchus keta (chum salmon)
Lineage: Eukaryota; Metazoa; Chordata; Actinopteri; Salmoniformes; Salmonidae
Exons: 4
Source: RefSeq, a predicted model, not a curated record
GAGAGAAUUAGAGAGAAGGUGGAGGGGAGAGAGAGAAUUAGAGAGAAGGUGGAGGGGAGAGAGAGAAUUAGAGAGAAGGUGGAGGGGAGAGAGAGAAUUAGAGAGAAGGUGGAGGGGAGAGAGAGAAUUAGAGAGAAGGUGGAGGGGAGAUAGAGAAUUAGAGAGAAGGUGGAGGGGAGAGAGAGAAUUAGAGAGAAGGUGGAGGGGAGAGAGAGAAUUAGAGAGAAGGUGGAGGGGAGAGAGAGAAUUAGAGAGAAGGUGGAGGGGAGAGAGAGAAUUAGAGAGAAG